Molecule: long non-coding RNA, 612 nt
Organism: Oncorhynchus tshawytscha (Chinook salmon)
Lineage: Eukaryota; Metazoa; Chordata; Actinopteri; Salmoniformes; Salmonidae
Source: Ensembl
CCUCACUCUCAGAGAAAUCAGUAGUACUGCUAGGUUUUACACAGUAAUAAUAUAUAUCUGCCUCACUCUCAGAGAAAUCAGUAGUACUGCUAGGUUUUACACAGUAAUAAUAUAUAUCUGCCUCACUCUCAGAGGAAUCAGUAGUACUGCUAGGUUUUACACAGUAAUAAUAUAUAUCUGCCUCACUCUCAGAGAAAUCAGUAGUACUGCUAGGUUUUACACAGUAAUAAUAUAUAUCUGCCUCACUCUCAGAGAAAUCAGUAGUACUGCUAGGUUUUACACAGUAAUAAUAUAUAUCUGCCUCACUCUCAGAGAAAUCAGUAGUACUGCUAGGUUUUACACAGUAAUAAUAUAUAUCUGCCUCACUCUCAGAGGAAUCAGUAGUACUGCUAGGUUUAAUACAGUAAUAAUAUAUAUCUGCCUCACUCUCAGAGGAAUCAGUAGUACUGCUAGGUUUUACACAGUAAUAAUAUAUAUCUGCCUCACUCUCAGAGGAAUCAGUAGUACUGCUAGGUUUUACACAGUAAUAAUAUAUAUCUGCCUCACUCUCAGAGAAAUCAGUAGUACUGCUAGGUUUUACACAGUAAUAAUAUAUAUCUGCCUCACUCUCAG